AAAAUGAACAAUAUUAAUUGUUGCUCACAAUAUUAAUAACUUUUGUUUGUUAGUUUUUUUCUUUAAAUAAAGUUCUGAAAUCGAUAUAGUUUGUGUGAAUUGGACACAGCAAAAACGUGGCUUCAAUGCAAGUUUAUCUAACUUGAUGUGUUCACCUGUGUUCAGCUCGAAGCCUGAUUUGUGUUGUAACAUGCCUAUCAUCUAAGAGAAAAAUGUGAUUGGUGGAAGGGUUGAACGUGGGGCGGGGGAGUUUUUUCUUUGGAACGUUCGGGAGAGAGAAAAAAAGAUCUGCUGAGAUGUGCACGCUGAGUGUUGCUCGCUGUUUCUUUAAGUUAUGCUUUUGUUUAAAGUGUAGUUUUUCUCUCGUCACCGUUACGAACUGAAGCAUCGAGGGACUGUCGAGAUCGCACACCAUUAUGUGCGUUUAAUGAGUCAAGUUACUUUCAGUUUGUGUGCUGCGUUUGUUCAUCGCGGGAGGAUGGAUCAUUAACCAGAGACUGAAGCCCUUGGACAAUGCUAGAUUUCCUCAUCUAGUCAAGUUCCUAAGACGCUCGUUGUUUUGCUGACAACGUUGGAGAAGCAUUCUCAUCUAUCUACUCAUCUGCUCCGUUCUCUUCUGCUCCUCGCGGAUCAAUCGGACUGAGUUACACUGAAGGAUCGCUACAGGUUCGUAAGUACAUUGUUUAUACUUGCUCAUCCGAGUGAAGGGGCAUUUUGUUUAAUGCCACAACGCUCCCAAGCACCGUCCAGGCCUGCAACCAGUUGUUUUUUUUUGUUUGUUUUUUGCCAGUUUCGGUUGACAUUGAGUCUGGGCCCAGUGAAUACCGUUGCUGAACAUUGAACGAGAAUAGUAUUUAAUUAAGAGAAAACACUCGCUUAAUGUUUGUGUUUGAACUAUAGGGUAAACAUUGUACCAAUGAGUGUUUAGAACUAUGAAUAUUGAGUGAAUACCACGGUCGAAUAUUUGUGUGAACAAGUUUAAGUGAUUAUAAUUUUAUUUUUAUUUUAUUUUUUUCCUUUUUUUUCCAUAUUUGAAUGCUGUAGGAAAAAAUCAUUAGAGUUGUGAGAUUUUUCCCACGAAAUCUGUCUUGUGUACAUUUCUGGAAGGCUUAAUUGUUUUACUUUUAUGUUUAAAAGCUAAUACAUCUCCAGGGUUACAUUGUUAGUUGAAAUAAGACAAGUAAAUUCACAUUUUGAAGAAUGUAAUUUUAUUUUCAUUUAAUUCAUACUGAUGCAAGUUUUCCUCACAUUUAUUUAAAUUGAUCACAUUUCAUUAGGCUUAAAGAAAAUUAAAGGAUCCAUUUUGUUAA
Carassius gibelio (silver crucian carp) is the source of this 1310-nucleotide long non-coding RNA. RefSeq lists it as uncharacterized. NCBI's taxonomy places the organism in Eukaryota, Metazoa, Chordata, Actinopteri, Cypriniformes, Cyprinidae. The record is from RefSeq and is a predicted model, not a curated record. The transcript has 2 exons.